Molecule: unclassified non-coding RNA, 196 nt
Filed under: uncultured Calyptella
Lineage: Eukaryota; Fungi; Basidiomycota; Agaricomycetes; Agaricales; Tricholomataceae
Description: sequence contains ITS2
Source: RNAcentral
AAUUCUCAAACUACUACUUGGUUUUAUAUCAAGUUAGUAGCUUUGGAUGUGGAGGUUGCAGGCUUCUUGUAGAGUCUGCUCUUCUUAAAAGCAUUAGUGGUUAUUGAUUCCACUUCUUGGUGUGAUAAUAUCUACGCCUUGUAAGAUUGGGUCUAAUGUAGCUGCUCUCAAACCGUCUGCAAAGACAAUUUGAACC